This 253-nucleotide ribosomal RNA is filed under the name uncultured bacterium. RNAcentral describes it as "partial 16S ribosomal RNA". It matches the Rfam family "Bacterial small subunit ribosomal RNA", at positions 524 to 776 of the family's 1533-position model. The record is from RNAcentral.
UACGUAGGGUGCGAGCGUUAAUCGGAAUUACUGGGCGUAAAGUGUGCGCAGGCGGCCGCGCAAGUCGAGUGUGAAAGCCCCGGGCUUAACUUGGGAAUUGCGCUCGAAACUACGUGGCUGGAGUGUGGCAGAGGAAGGUGGAAUUCCACGUGUAGCAGUGAAAUGCGUAGAGAUGUGGAGGAACACCGAUGGCGAAGGCAGCCCCCUGGGUCAACACUGACGCUCAUGCACGAAAGCGUGGGGAGCAAACAGG